Molecule: long non-coding RNA, 267 nt
Filed under: Trifolium pratense (red clover)
Lineage: Eukaryota; Viridiplantae; Streptophyta; Magnoliopsida; Fabales; Fabaceae
Description: long non-coding RNA (TPRA_LNC004837)
Source: RNAcentral
AUGAAACAGCCGCUCUAGCAAGCUUGUGAGCAAUCGAGUUUGCUUGUCGCUUAAUAAACUUCACCUGGAAGAAGUUUGAAUAUAAAGACAACACAUUCUUAAUCAUUACAAUUAAAGAACUAAAUUCAGAGAUGUCAUUGAUUCGACGAUGGAUUGCAUCCACAAUACUUUUGAAGUCGGUUUCAAAAAUGACAUUUGUUAGGCCUAUGCGUUCCACUUCCUUCAUAGCAUCAAGUAAAGCCAUAGCCUCUCCUUCAAUGAUAGAGC